Molecule: long non-coding RNA, 997 nt
Filed under: Numida meleagris (helmeted guineafowl)
Lineage: Eukaryota; Metazoa; Chordata; Aves; Galliformes; Numididae
Description: lncRNA (ENSNMEG00000000869.1)
Source: RNAcentral
UGUCUUCCCAUCAUCCCAUCCCUCUGUCCUCCCAUCAUCCCGUCCUUCUGUCUUCCCAUCAUCCCGUCCUUCUGUUCUCCCAUCAAUCUGUCUUUCCGUCCUCUUGUCAUCCAUUCCUUCUGUCCUUCUGUCCUUCCAUCUUUCCAUCAUCCUGUCCUCCCAUCACCCCGUCCCUCUGUCCUCCCAUCACCCCGUCCCUCUGUCCUCCCGUCACCCCGUCCCUCUGUCCUCCCAUCAUCCCGUCCCUCUGUCCUCCCAUCAUCCCGUCCUUCUGUCCUUCCAUCUUUCCAGCAUCCCGUCCUCCCAUCAGUCUGUCUUUCUGUUCCCCUGUCAUCCCAUCCGUUCAUCAUCCUGUCCUCCCAUCACCCCGUCCCUCUGUCCUCCCAUCAUCCCGUCCUUCUGUCCUUCCAUCUUUCCAUCAUCCCGUCCUCCCAUCAGUCUGUCUUUCCGUCCUCCUUUCAUCCCUUCCUUCUGUCCUUCCGUCAUCCCGUCCGUUCAUCAUCCUGUCCUCCCAUCAUCCCGUCUUCCUGUCCUUCCAUCAUCCUCUCCUAUCAUCCCAUCCUUCUGUCCUUCUGUCCUUCCUUCAUCCCAUCCUCCCAUCAAUCCAUCCCCCCAUCAUCCCGUCCUUCUGUCCUUCCAUCGUCCCAUCCCUCUGUCCUCCCGUCCUCCUGUCCUUCAUCCCAUCCUCCCAUCCUCCUGUCUUUCCAUCAUCAUCCUCUCCUAUCAUCCCAUCCGUCUGUCCUUCUGUCCUCCCAUCCUCCCAUCAUCCCACCCUUCCAUCAUCCCGUCCCUCUGUCCUCCCAUCCUCCCGUCUUUCCAUCCUCCCGCCAUCCCCUCCUUCCACCAUCCCCAUUCUUCCAAGAUUCCCCCAUUCCUUCAUCCCAUCCUUCUGCCAUCCCACCCAAUCCCCGAUCCUAAUCUCCGUGAUUCCAUCAUUCUGCAAUCCCAGUCCUUCCCUUCCCUGACCCCACUCUUCCACGACCCCACCCUUCCAUGA